RNAcentral lists this ribosomal RNA (393 nucleotides) under Tremellales sp. A HL-2015. RNAcentral's name for it is "LSU rRNA". It matches the Rfam family "Eukaryotic large subunit ribosomal RNA", at positions 38 to 425 of the family's 3401-position model. Lineage: Eukaryota; Fungi; Basidiomycota; Tremellomycetes; Tremellales. The record is from RNAcentral.
GCAUAUCAAUAAGCGGAGGAAAAGAAACUAACAAGGAUUCCCCUAGUAACGGCGAGUGAACAGGGAAGAGCUCAAAUUUGUAAUCUGGCGUGCUUUGUGCGUCCGAGUUGUAAUCUAUAGAAGCGUUUUCCGUGCUGGACCACGUCCAAGUCCCUUGGAACAGGGUAUCAAAGAGGGUGACAAUCCCGUACUUGACGUGACAACCAGUGCUCUGUGAUACGUUCUCUACGAGUCGAGUUGUUUGGGAAUGCAGCUCAAAACGGGUGGUGAGUUCCAUCUAAAGCUAAAUAUUGGCGAGAGACCGAUAGCGAACAAGUACCGUGAGGGAAAGAUGAAAAGCACUUUGGAAAGAGAGUUAAACAGUACGUGAAAUUGUUGAAAGGGAAACGAUGA